Ochotona princeps (American pika) is the source of this 146-nucleotide non-coding RNA. NCBI's taxonomy places the organism in Eukaryota, Metazoa, Chordata, Mammalia, Lagomorpha, Ochotonidae. The record is from Rfam.
AAGCACCGGCCGUGGAUUGCCUUUUGCUCCAAAGAAUUUUUUGCUGAUUUUUUUUUUUUAGCGAUUUUUCCGCGGAGUCCCACUGGCGCUUAGACUCUCGGACAGGUUGUCCCGUCCCUCCCGCUAGAUUGAUGAGAUCUGGGAUC